UGGUGGCAUAAGCAUUUGUGAUUUGCUGCUACCCAGGUUAAAAGUGCUUUCAUUAAAAAGGGGAAAUGGCCUAGAUGAUUAACCUUAGCUGAAUAAAUAAGGCAGUAGAAUAAAUAACUCUGGAAGUUUAAAAACAAGGCUGGGGGAUUAUCAGAUCUUUCAGGGAGAGGAAAAAAAUACUAAAGCUAAAGAGAGGGACUUAACACAGAGGACCACUUACCCAGUCAGACCCCCACAUCGGAGCAUUCUUUCAAAAGCUGAAGGCAAUUCCUGCACGAUGAGCCAAAAUUGGGUUGCAAAGGUGAGAGAAGAAAAUGGAAGAUCAAAAAAUUGUCAUUUCAGGAAGGAACUCAUAACGCUCCAAAUAAAAAAAAGAAAGAAAAAGAAUCGGCACUCGCUGUUGCAUUUCAACAGCUCUUAGGGACAAAGUGUUUUCAUAUAAAACAUACAUUUAAACAUUAAAAUAGAAAUGCUGCUUGGAACACCAGUGAAUGGGACAGUGAAGUGAAACAGAGCAGGCUGUUUAGGAGGAGAAAGCUACUGAUACAUUUUAGGGAAGCCUGCAAGGGUAUCAGAGAAUUCAAGUAAGUAAGAGCACUGUGUCAAGAUUAUGUUACCUUUGGGAGGGCUAAAGUGAGCAACUCAAUUUAAGUCCAUAUGCUACAAAGUGCAAAUAAGUUUUUAUUGCAUUUUGAAAAUGAUCUGGCAGAGCUCGAUCAAGUAGCUAUAAAUGAACACUAUUGACCAGGAAUGUUUUCUUUUUUCUGUGUAAGAUCCACUAUAAAUACACCCCAAAGAGGCCUGUGCAAGAUGCUCUCUGUGGAUUAUGACUGAUGUCAAAAUAUCUCAGCAUGUUGUGGAGAAAUCACAUAUUUCUCCACAACACGUUGAAUUUUUA
Hemicordylus capensis (graceful crag lizard) is the source of this 898-nucleotide long non-coding RNA. RefSeq lists it as uncharacterized. The transcript is spliced from 3 exons. Lineage: Eukaryota; Metazoa; Chordata; Lepidosauria; Squamata; Cordylidae. The record is from RefSeq and is a predicted model, not a curated record.